GAUGAACGCUAGCGGCGUGCCUAAUACAUGCAAGUCGAGCGAACAGACGAGGAGCUUGCUCCUCUGACGUUAGCGGCGGACGGGUGAGUAACACGUGGAUAACCUACCUAUAAGACUGGGAUAACUUCGAGAAACCGGAGCUAAUACCGGAUAAUAUAUUGAACCGCAUGGUUCAAUAGUGAAAGACGGUUUUGCUGUCACUUAUAGAUGGAUCCGCGCCGCAUUAGCUAGUUGGUAAGGUAACGGCUUACCAAGGCAACGAUGCGUAGCCGACCUGAGAGGGUGAUCGGCCACACUGGAACUGAGACACGGUCCAGACUCCUACGGGAGGCAGCAGUAGGGAAUCUUCCGCAAUGGGCGAAAGCUUGACGGAGCAACGCCGCGUGAGUGAUGAAGGUCUUCGGAUCGUAAAACUCUGUUAUUAGGGAAGAACAAAUGUGUAAGUAACUAUGCACGUCUUGACGGUACCUAAUCAGAAAGCCACGGCUAACUACGUG
This 497-nucleotide ribosomal RNA is filed under the name uncultured bacterium. RNAcentral's name for it is "partial 16S ribosomal RNA". It matches the Rfam family "Bacterial small subunit ribosomal RNA", at positions 28 to 507 of the family's 1533-position model. The record is from RNAcentral.